UACGGAGGGUGCAAGCGUUGUCCGGAAUCACUGGGCGUAAAGGGCGCGUAGGCGGCCUGGUAAGUAGGGGGUGAAAUCCUGCGGCUUAACCGCAGGGCUGCCUUCUAAACUGUCAGGCUUGAGCACGGUAGAGGCAGAUGGAAUUCCCGGUGUAGCGGUGGAAUGCGUAGAGAUCGGGAAGAACACCGGUGGCGAAGGCGGUUCUCUGGGCCUUACCUGACGCUGAGGAGCGAAAGCGUGGGGAGCAAACAGG
Molecule: ribosomal RNA, 253 nt
Filed under: uncultured bacterium
Lineage: Bacteria
Description: partial 16S ribosomal RNA
Rfam family: Bacterial small subunit ribosomal RNA
Source: RNAcentral